This 377-nucleotide ribosomal RNA is filed under the name uncultured bacterium. Its description in RNAcentral is "bacterial SSU rRNA". It matches the Rfam family "Bacterial small subunit ribosomal RNA", at positions 523 to 898 of the family's 1533-position model. The record is from RNAcentral.
AUACGUAGGUGGCAAGCGUUGUCCGGAUUUACUGGGCGUAAAGGGUGCGUAGGCGGAUGCUUAAGUGAGAUGUGAAAUACCUAGGCUUAACUUAGGGGCUGCAUUUCAAACUGGAUAUCUAGAGUGCAGGAGAGGAGAAUGGAAUUCCUAGUGUAGCGGUGAAAUGCGUAGAGAUUAGGAAGAACACCAGUGGCGAAGGCGUUUCUCUGGACUGUAACUGACGCUGGGGCACGAAAGCGUGGGUAGCAAACAGGAUUAGAUACCCUGGUAGUCCACGCCGUAAACGAUGAGUACUAGGUGUAGGAGGUAUCGAUCCCUUCUGUGCCGCAGUUAACACAAUAAGUACUCCGCCUGGGAAGUACGAUCGCAAGAUUAAA